CAUAUAUGAUAGCUCAAUGCAGACCAAUACGUUUGGCCAAAGUCAUGAUAAUAAUACAUAUCACAAACUAACUUCUUAUACAUGCCACUCACUUGAUAUUUCUAAUAGUUGAAUUAAUUCUCCCAAAAGUGAUAGGUUGAUAGUGUGAUUCUGCCUCCGACGAUCUUCAACCCCGAGACGACUUGCCAAAACUGAAGAAGUGGAGAGGAAGCGGUAAGCUUUACGCUUAGUAAGUCGAUAUGAAAUUAAUAAACAAUUACCAUCAUGCUUUUCUAAGAUAAAACACCAAAAUUGUACAAUUUACACAUGUUCAGGUUAAGCUGUUUUACCGAGUUACAGUUACUAAAUCAUUUAUAUCUGGAGACAAGAAACUCCAAAUUAAGUUAUGUUAAUUUUCUUUGAAACUAGACUCAUAUACCUUUCUCCCAUAAAAUUUCUAGAAUUUUUGGUUUAGCCAAUUAGUACAGUUUAUUCAUUAAAUAUUCCCCUGUUUCAGUUUUCAGCUACUCUAACCUUUGUUCACUACAAAUCAAUUUUCUCUCUGUACAGAAUUCAAAGGGCUAUGCCGUUUAUUUCUGUUAAAAAUAGACUCAAUAAGGAAUCUAUACAUGUAAAGUAUAACUCUUAAUUAUUUUUGUACAAUUUUUAGUGAAUUUCUCAAAUAGGAACAGGGGAUCUCGAAGUCAUUCAGACUCUGUCUCACAACAAUUUAAAUAUCUCUUAACAUAAAGUUCAAUUGCAUGUACAGUUUCCUCUAUGUGAAACUAGACUUAUUGAGAUUUAAUCUCAUAUUUUUAUUCAGCCCCUAACUCAAUUUCCACAAUUUAUGGUGAAUUUCCAAAGUUGCACCACUGCAGUAACCUAAAACUGUCAAGGCUGAAUUUGCUCAUUCACCACUAUUAUUCACAAAAUCCAUACAAUAUCAUUUCAUCCAUCAUGGUAAGAACACGUAAUUACGCUUCAUAAGCAUGGACUCAUAAUCACAAGGUCAUCACAAAAGCAUUCUCAUGAACAUUCUUACCACACAAUUACAACAUAUCAACUUCUCUACUCGAGAGUUUACGCACAUACUUGUUCAUCGUACUCAUUUCACAACACUUACCAACAUGUCGCUUUCAUCUGGAGUAUUUCACUUCGUUCACUUGAGAUUUACCCGUUGAACACAUCAGAAUAUAAUUCGGAUACACGAAAUCAAGCUACCAUAAUUUCACCCAUAAUGAACUCGGAACGCAACUCAACGAGCUCGGGUGUUCACAUCCAUAAUGAACUCGAAACACAACUCAACGAGUUUGGAUGCUUGCAUCCAUAAGUGAACUCGGAACGCAACUCAACGAGUUCGGAUGCCUCAUAAUUCUCACGAAUUCGGAAUGCAACUCAACGAGUUCGGAUCUCAAUUUCCUAGUGACAUGUCACUUGUAUCCUAACCUAUUCCUAAGGUUCAAACGGGCUCUUUCCUCGAUCAUACGCCUUUGCCAUCUUUCUCGUGAUGUCAAUAUCGAUACUCCGGUGGCAACUCAUAUUUUUCAAGUAUUCCACAUAAUUUGUAUAAUAAUUCAACAAUAAUCAUAGAAUGCAAUAAUUCGUAAACAAUAAUCAUCAUACCAUUAUCAAGACAUCAACAACAUAUAGUAAUGUUGCAUCAUUUACAUAAUAUCAAAUUAUUCACAUAUAUGUAUACUUACAAUUCAUGUAAUAUCAUAACAUUAACAUUAAAAUACACAUUGCAUUAUUAAAAUCAUAUGAACUUACCUCGUAUGCGAAAAUGGUCAUUUUUACCAUUUUGUCCACAACUUGGUAUUUUGCCAAUUUUAGCCCGAAUUUCAAUUUUCCUUACUCUAUCAUUUCAAAUAUAGCCUAAUUAGGAUAACCCAAAAUCAUAUUUUAGAAAAAUUACAAUUUUGCCCCUAAACUUUCACAUAUUUACACUUUUACCCCAAAUCUCGUAAAUUAAACUUCAUCCUAUUUUCUUAUGUUUUAUGACAUGCUGAUCAUUUUUUUUCCUUCUAUAGCAACAUCCAAUUCUCACUCUAACAUGUACUUAUGAACAUUAGGUAUUUUUACCAAUUUUGUCAUUUUACUCGUUUUCACGUAAAAUCGCUUAGCAAAAGUCGUUUAUCUAACACCCAACCUUCAUUUUAUAUCAUUAGAGAUCAAAAUACAUGCAUAUUAUUCAUGGGUAAAUUUUUAGACAUGAACCUUAGCUCAAAUGAAUGGUAGAAAUAAGUAAAACAAGUUACCGAGAUUUAAAAAAUGUAAAGAACUUUAAAAACGGGGCUAGGGAGCACUUACAAUCGAGCUUGGGAGUUUGAAAAAAUCCUAACCAUGGCUGUUG
RNAcentral lists this long non-coding RNA (2332 nucleotides) under Gossypium barbadense (sea-island cotton). RNAcentral's name for it is "long non-coding RNA (GBAR_LNC008337)". The record is from RNAcentral. Lineage: Eukaryota; Viridiplantae; Streptophyta; Magnoliopsida; Malvales; Malvaceae.